CUCCCGCACCAGCCGUCACACAAACCCUAGCCCUGUUUUCCCUCGAUCCCCACAGCCUCCCGCUCCCCUCCUCCACCCCCCUCCUCGCCUCACCACGGCCUCCGCCCUGGAGCCCCGUCGCCGCCUCUCCUCCACCCCCUCCUCGCGUCGCCACGGCCUCCGCCUGCUAUUCCUCCUCCACCACACUAGCCCCUCUACGUCGUCUUCCUUCUCUUCGUUGUCAAUGCGGCCGCAUCGACCGCUGGUUCCAGAUCAAGCACGGGUUAGGCGAGCCCGGUGGUGGGGUGAAGGGGCAGGGGAAGAGGAGGUGGGCGACUAGGUGAAGGAGUAGGUCGGCCCUCCUGGAGGCGGCGCCGCCGCCCAGCCAGGGAGGAGGCCAGGCUCGCCUCUGUUUUGCCGUGAGCGGCGGCAGCGCCUAUGCCUCCACCACACCUUCUUUUCCAUGCCUCUUCCUUGGCAUGACAGGCAGAUUUUGCGGAGACCCCAUGAAUAAUAAUUCAAGUGGACGGCCGAUGCGCCUUGUUGUUUAGCGGUAUGAUCUAUGAUGGUCGGCGAAAGUAUGUUCUAUAUUGCAAGACUAUUGCCGCUGAUGUCAAGCCUCUCGAGAUCCGAGAGCCUCCUCCAACUUGCCCUCCCCACCAAGGAUGACGUAGUAACCGCACGCAGAAUUACCUACAACUUGAGUAGAUGCACAUUAUUCACUUCAUAUUCCAAUGGUUUUACUUCCACAUCACAUAUUUGUUUAUAUUAAAUCACAAAAAAUUCAUGAGCUUGCUUGGUUACUGUGGAGAAGGGCAUUCUUUCAAGGAGCUGUAGGUUUUUUGAAUAUGCUCCCUAUUGGACACUUUUUUUUGGUAUGUACAAGAUUUGUUGAGAAUGGGUGUGAGAAAAUUGACCAUCCGGUGGAUUUAUACGCACGGUACUCAGACAUGGUGAAAGCAAAGACCGAAAGGUUUCGAUUUAGAUGAUUUGGAGGUGCCUUGUCCAUCUUCUUACCUCCAGGUCAAAAUUAAGCAGAUGUUUUAUUGCUAAAGGAUAUGCUCUUACUAUCUGAGAUGGAUGAUGAUGUGCGGUACAACCAAAAAUUCAGAGUUGGGCUUUACACACUUCAGUGGGCAAGUGAAUUCCCAGUUUUUCUUCUUUCCCCUGUUACUUCUCUAUUGUACAAAGAGCAAUGAGUUUAUAUUAGCUGAUUCCUGAAUGUUAGAUUGGAAUGCAAGAGUAGUAUCACAACACGGGGGUGGAGACCUGAAGCGAAGCAGAGGGGCAGCAAACGAAGGAAAUCAGAGUCGCGCUAUUUCUAUAUCCUAAUUCUGUGCUCUUAUUUUUUUACAUAUUUAAUUUACAAUCUUGUGUUCCGAAUAAUUCUUGUGGCUUGACAAGACAGAGUGGAGGAUCAAGGAAUGAAAUCAAAACAUUUUUCUAUUUAAAUAUAUCCAAAGGAUGAUAAUUGGCCGUGUCAAGAUGAGUGCACAAGAAGGAUUGUGAAAAAGAAAGUUCAAUCAACGAGACCAUAAUUUAGUGGCGAAACAUAUUAAACAGUACAGAUGUUGCCCACACAUGAGCGCCCAUGGGGAAGCCCAGAUCCAUCAUGUCGCUUUGUGUGGAAAGCGGUUCAAUUCUCUAUUUUCCCUGUAUAUAGAGUAUCAUGCUUCCACUAUAGUGCUCAUAGAUCUUGUAUGUGUAUCGCCAAUUUCAUAUGCAAUUAUUUUUUUACCGGAAUAACAUGUUAGGGCGCGACUAUUCUAAGUUUAACAUGUUAUGUAUGCAGACGCACAACAAUAACAAAAGAUAUGGUUUAGUCAUGCACAUGACUACUAAUCACAAAAAGAGUUAGGAACAAGUUUACUAUUGUGAUUUUCAGCAACCGAAAUAGAAGUAGAGUUAACUAAUGAUUUUAAGCUACACUUUAGCCUUGUUCUGAUAACUAGAGCUGCCAUGAUGCUGCUAAGUGCCUUGCUUACACCAGUUGAAAUAACGCAUGCUUGUCUUUUCUUUUGUUUGCACUGUAGGCAAUGUGUGGUAGAAGCUGUAACGAUGUAGAGUCCUGUAUAUUUUUAAAAUUCAUAAUUGGCAGUGUCAAUUUGUCAUGUGUGAUGGUGCAUGAAUCAUAGUGAGCUUAUUUCUUUGCACACUUGGUGUAUCCUCUUAACAUCUUCUGUACAGGUCGUAGAAUGGAAAGAUCAGUAUGGUGGUACUGUAUUGAAUCAAUUACAUAGGCUUGGAGCCUCCCUUGAUUGGACCCAUGAGAUAAACUUCUUAUUUUCUUAGUUAAGAAAAAUAGUGAAAACAAUGUAUUGUCUAUAGUUCCAAUUCCUAAUGUGAACUUAAUGUCAGCCUUGUGCGUCAGUGCUUUACAAUGGAUGAGAAAAGGCCAAAAGCUGUAAUUUAAGCUUUUGCCAGGUUGUAUAAAGAUGGCCUUAUUUAUAAGUUAGUACUCUUGCCUUUC
Triticum dicoccoides is the source of this 2449-nucleotide long non-coding RNA. RefSeq lists it as uncharacterized. The transcript has 5 exons. The record is from RefSeq and is a predicted model, not a curated record. Lineage: Eukaryota; Viridiplantae; Streptophyta; Magnoliopsida; Poales; Poaceae.